GCCGGAGUGGCGAAAUGGUAGACGCACGGGACUUAAAAUCCUGCGGUGGUGACACUGUGCCGGUUCAAGUCCGGCCUCCGGCA
RNAcentral lists this transfer RNA (83 nucleotides) under bacterium. RNAcentral describes it as "tRNA-Leu". It matches the Rfam family "tRNA". From Rfam's summary of the family: Transfer RNA (tRNA) molecules are approximately 80 nucleotides in length. Their secondary structure includes four short double-helical elements and three loops (D, anti-codon, and T loops). RNAcentral also lists the same sequence under 2 other names. The record is from RNAcentral.